Molecule: ribosomal RNA, 254 nt
Filed under: uncultured bacterium
Lineage: Bacteria
Description: partial 16S ribosomal RNA
Rfam family: Bacterial small subunit ribosomal RNA
Source: RNAcentral
UACGUAGGGUGCGAGCGUUUAAUCGGAAUUACUGGGCGUAAAGCGUGCGCAGGCGGUUUUGUAAGUCAGAUGUGAAAUCCCCGGGCUUAACCUGGGAACUGCGUUUGAAACUACAAGGCUAGAGUGUGGCAGAGGGGGGUGGAAUUCCACGUGUAGCAGUGAAAUGCGUAGAGAUGUGGAGGAACACCGAUGGCGAAGGCAGCCCCCUGGGUUAACACUGACGCUCAGGCACGAAAGCGUGGGGAGCAAACAGG